CCUACGGGGGGCAGCAGUGGGGGAUAUUGCACAAUGGGGGGAACCCUGAUGCAGCGACGCCGCGUGGGUGAAGGAGCGUUUCGGCGCGUAAAGCCCUAUCGGCAGGGAAGAAGGAGGACGGUACCUGACUAAGAAGCCCCGGCUAACUACGUGCCAGCAGCCGCGGUAAUACGUAGGGGGCAAGCGUUAUCCGGAUUUACUGGGUGUAAAGGGGGCGCAGACGGCAGCGCAAGCCAGGAGUGAAAGCCCGGGGCUCAACCCUGGGACUGCUUUUGAAACUGCCGGGCUGGAGUGCAGGAGAGGUAAGCGGAAUUCCUAGUGUAGCGGUGAAAUGCGUAGAUAUUAGGAGGAACACCAGUGGCGAAGGCGGCUUACUGGACUGUAACUGACGUUGAGGCUCGAAAGCGUGGGGAGCAAACAGGAUUAGAUACCCCAGUAGUC
RNAcentral lists this ribosomal RNA (441 nucleotides) under uncultured bacterium. Its description in RNAcentral is "partial 16S ribosomal RNA". It matches the Rfam family "Bacterial small subunit ribosomal RNA", at positions 338 to 795 of the family's 1533-position model. The record is from RNAcentral.